This 819-nucleotide ribosomal RNA is filed under the name Mycolicibacterium sp. RNAcentral describes it as "bacterial SSU rRNA". It matches the Rfam family "Bacterial small subunit ribosomal RNA", at positions 112 to 941 of the family's 1533-position model. Lineage: Bacteria; Bacillati; Actinomycetota; Actinomycetes; Mycobacteriales; Mycobacteriaceae. The record is from RNAcentral.
AACACGUGGGUGAUCUGCCCUGCACUUUGGGAUAAGCCUGGGAAACUGGGUCUAAUACCGAAUAUACCCUGCUGGUCGCAUGGCCUGGUGGGGGAAAGCUUUUGCGGUGUGGGAUGGGCCCGCGGCCUAUCAGCUUGUUGGUGGGGUGAUGGCCUACCAAGGCGACGACGGGUAGCCGGCCUGAGAGGGUGACCGGCCACACUGGGACUGAGAUACGGCCCAGACUCCUACGGGAGGCAGCAGUGGGGAAUAUUGCACAAUGGGCGCAAGCCUGAUGCAGCGACGCCGCGUGAGGGAUGACGGCCUUCGGGUUGUAAACCUCUUUCAGUAGGGACGAAGCGCAAGUGACGGUACCUAUAGAAGAAGGACCGGCCAACUACGUGCCAGCAGCCGCGGUAAUACGUAGGGUCCGAGCGUUGUCCGGAAUUACUGGGCGUAAAGAGCUCGUAGGUGGUUUGUCGCGUUGUUCGUGAAAACUCACAGCUUAACUGUGGGCGUGCGGGCGAUACGGGCAGACUGGAGUACUGCAGGGGAGACUGGAAUUCCUGGUGUAGCGGUGGAAUGCGCAGAUAUCAGGAGGAACACCGGUGGCGAAGGCGGGUCUCUGGGCAGUAACUGACGCUGAGGAGCGAAAGCGUGGGGAGCGAACAGGAUUAGAUACCCUGGUAGUCCACGCCGUAAACGGUGGGUACUAGGUGUGGGUUUCCUUCCUUGGGAUCCGUGCCGUAGCUAACGCAUUAAGUACCCCGCCUGGGGAGUACGGCCGCAAGGCUAAAACUCAAAGGAAUUGACGGGGGCCCGCACAAGCGGCGGAGCAUG